Passer domesticus (house sparrow) is the source of this 1793-nucleotide long non-coding RNA. RefSeq lists it as uncharacterized. The record is from RefSeq and is a predicted model, not a curated record. NCBI's taxonomy places the organism in Eukaryota, Metazoa, Chordata, Aves, Passeriformes, Passeridae. The transcript is spliced from 4 exons.
CCUUGGGCAAGGCAGCUGUGCCGGCAGGGCCCGGGCGCUGUGCCGGCUCUGCCGGGCUGCCGGGGCUGCGGGACGGUCCCGCCGCGGCUGCGCUCACCACAGCCCGGCCCGCUCGGCUGCAGCUGGCCCAGCCGUGCGCCGUGGCUGGCGCUGCUCCUUGCCUGGCCCAGAGCCCUGUCCCGGUCAAGCGCAGCUGGAGGGAGCCUCCUGUCCCUGUAGAGCAGAGGAGAAAGCACCGGGCAGUUGGGUUUCUGGCAGUUGCCUUCUGCCAAGGAGCAGCAGUGGGACAGUUUUCCCAGACAGUUGAACGAAUAGGGCAGAGCUAAUUAGACAAGGAAUUGUUAGUUGAAUAGCCCCAGAACAUGUGGGGAUUUUUUUCUUUCUCACCCUGUUUGGGAGGAUGGGAGCUUUUGUCUUUCCUGAUAGAAGUACAGUUGCUGCCAAAGGAAACACACCCAAAGACCAAUAGUGACGCGGCCUUCUCUUUGCUUCCUUUCUUCUUCCCUCACUGCUACACAGUGCUCUCAUACCAGGACCUCACUGCUGCCUCACCUGAGGGUUUACAGCUGCCUCCAGGCCCUUCCAGGCUAAGUGCAGGUGCUCAGGAGUCUGACUUCUUCCUGACAUCUCCCAAGAAAGUCUUUGCCUCAUCUGGAUUUCUUGGGGUUUCAUCAGAGGAACCAGGCACCAGCAAAUUUCAUCUCAAGCGUCAGCUCAUCAUUCCGCUGGUUCCCAUAGACCGCAGAUGCCGCCCUGAGCUCACCGUUUCUCUGCGUCCCAUAGACCAUCACAGCCCUUCCAUGGCCUCUCCAGAGGGAAGCAGCUGCACAUCUUCAGAGCAGUAUUUGCCAGCCUGCAGUUCAUCAGCCACCCCAGGCACUUCAGGCCCCAGCGCUCCAGCUGGCAGUGCUGGUUUUGCACCAUGGACAGCCCCCAGCUGGCUGUGGAAUACUCCUGGGCAAGAGGAAUUGCCACCACCAGAUCUGGACAUGGUGCUUGAGACGCUGGAGGAGAUGUUUUCUCCCUCUGCUCAGGGGAAUAUUAAUGUUGCCCCUGAGUCUUCAGGAGGGCAGCCUGUGGACAGAGCUGAAGCAGAAGGAGCUUUGCCUGGCACCAGGAGGUGCGGGAACAAUUCCCAGGAGCCCGAAGAGCUUGAUUUCCACCUAAUCUACCUUGCCAGGAGGGCUGCCCUGCAUGAGAAAAAGGAUCGGAGGGAGAGCCUGUGACCAUCGGGCAGGUGGAAUCCCUCCAUUUAUACAUAGAUUUAUAGAUUUCCAUAGUUCUAUUUAUAUAUCCAUGUAGUUACAUUGAUUGAUUUAUACAAUCCUAUUUAUAUAUCCACAUAGUUAUAUUUGUAGGUUUAUAGAGGACAUAUAUAUAUAUAUAUACAUCUAUACAGUUAAAUCUAUAUAUAGUUUUUGAUGUGAUAGAAUUACAUUUAUGUGCAUGUAGUUACAUUUAUAGAUUUUAAAAUUUACAUUUAUAUACAUAUAGAGUAAUAAUAUAUUUUUAAUAUUUUUAUAUUUAUAAAUCUGCAUCGAUAUGUAGUUAGAGUUAUAUGGAUUUUUAGAUGGAUAGAUUGAUGUUAGUGUAGGUCUAGGCAGUAUUUUUACCUCUUUCCCCUCGGCUGCCUUUUUCACCUCUGGCUUUUCCCCCUGUGCCCCCUGUGUCCCCUCUCCCUGGGCUGGGUCCGAGCUGGCGGCCGGGCCGGGCGCAGCAGCAGUUCCUGCCCCGGAUGUCCCUGGAGCGCUGGGAGCUGCCGGUGGCCCCAGGCACUGUCCCCUGAGGAGCUG